RNAcentral lists this ribosomal RNA (429 nucleotides) under Actinomycetes bacterium. RNAcentral's name for it is "Actinobacteria bacterium partial 16S ribosomal RNA". It matches the Rfam family "Bacterial small subunit ribosomal RNA", at positions 355 to 776 of the family's 1533-position model. The record is from RNAcentral. Lineage: Bacteria; Bacillati; Actinomycetota; Actinomycetes.
UAGGGAAUCUUCCGCAAUGGGCGAAAGCCUGACGGAGCAACGCCGCGUGAGUGAUGAAGGUCUUCGGAUCGUAAAACUCUGUUAUUAGGGAAGAACAAAUGUGUAAGUAACUAUGCACGUCUUGACGGUACCUAAUCAGAAAGCCACGGCUAACUACGUGCCAGCAGCCGCGGUAAUACGUAGGUGGCAAGCGUUAUCCGGAAUUAUUAGGCGUAAAGCGCGCGUAGGCGGUUUUUUAAGUCUGAUGUGAAAACCCACGGCUCAACCGUGGAGGGUCAUUGGAAACUGGAAAACUUGAGUGCAGAAGAGGAAAGUGGGAUUCCAUGUGUAGCAGUGAAAUGCGCAGAGAUAUGGAGGAACACCAGUGGCGAAAGCGACUUUCUGGUCUGUAACUGACGCUGAUGUGCGAAAGCGUGGGGAUCAAACAGG